RNAcentral lists this non-coding RNA (190 nucleotides) under Paenibacillus woosongensis. RNAcentral's name for it is "6S RNA". It matches the Rfam family "6S / SsrS RNA". Rfam says of the family: E. coli 6S RNA was the first non coding RNA to be sequenced, but its function was unknown until recently. The record is from RNAcentral. Lineage: Bacteria; Bacillati; Bacillota; Bacilli; Caryophanales; Paenibacillaceae.
UACGUCCUGCGAUGUGCGUUUCGGUUCCAAGUUGUUUUGAACCAAUGACAAUGUCCAGGGAGACUUAAAUUGCAUCGCUGCUGAAAGGCCCUAUCUAUUAGAUCAGGGGACUUCAAAGGCGCUGCUGCGGUCACCCACCUGCUGAUGCAGGUUCGAGACAGUGUAACCGGACGGCAUAGGCGGGUCUACA